Molecule: ribosomal RNA, 427 nt
Filed under: uncultured bacterium
Lineage: Bacteria
Description: partial 16S ribosomal RNA
Rfam family: Bacterial small subunit ribosomal RNA
Source: RNAcentral
UGGGGAAUAUUGCACAAUGGGCGCAAGCCUGAUGCAGCCAUGCCGCGUGUAUGAAGAAGGCCUUCGGGUUGUAAAGUACUUUCAGCGGGGAGGAAGGCGAUAAGGUUAAUAACCUUGUCGAUUGACGUUACCCGCAGAAGAAGCACCGGCUAACUCCGUGCCAGCAGCCGCGGUAAUACGGAGGGUGCAAGCGUUAAUCGGAAUUACUGGGCGUAAAGCGCACGCAGGCGGUCUGUCAAGUCGGAUGUGAAAUCCCCGGGCUCAACCUGGGAACUGCAUUCGAAACGGGCAGGCUAGAGUCUUGUAGAGGGGGGUAGAAUUCCAGGUGUAGCGGUGAAAUGCGUAGAGAUCUGGAGGAAUACCGGUGGCGAAGGCGGCCCCCUGGACAAAGACUGACGCUCAGGUGCGAAAGCGUGGGGAGCAAACA